This is a long non-coding RNA of Gallus gallus (chicken), 308 nucleotides long. Lineage: Eukaryota; Metazoa; Chordata; Aves; Galliformes; Phasianidae. The record is from Ensembl.
AGAGAACUGUAAUUCUGCCAAGUUGAAAAGGUCAUGAUUCUGUGUGGCAAAUCCUCAACCUGAACUUCGGAGAUGCAAAACCAAAAUCAACAUUUCACAGCUACAGUAUCAAAAACCAUUUGCGUUGCAGUACAGAAAACCACCAAAUGCAUUUGCAGCAUCAGCAAUUUUGCUUGGAAGAGACAGAAGAAGAAUAUCUAAGAUGCAGGGCUCAUGAAGGAUGAGAUGAAAAUGACAGAGGCAGCUACAGGAGUUAGAAGUGAGAAAGAGAAACCCUGCAAGACACUAUCGCAGAGACUGCUGAGGUG